GAUGAACGCUGGCGGCGUGCCUAAUACAUGCAAGUCGAGCGAACGGACGAGACUCUUGCUUUUCUGAUGUUAGCGGCGGACGGGUGAGUAACACGUGGAUAACCUACCUAUAUGACUGGUAUAACUUCGGGAAACCGGAGCUUAUCCCGGAUAAUAUUUUGAACCGCAUGGUUCAAAAGUGAAAUACGGUCUUGCUGUCACUUAUAGCUGGAUCCGCGCUGCAUUAGCUAGUUGGUAAGGUAACGGCUUACCAAGGCAACGAUGCAUAGCCGACCUGAGAGAGGGAUAGGCGGCACUGGAGGUGGGACACGGUCCAGACGACUACGAGAGGCAGCAGAAGGGAAUCUGACGCAAUGGGCGAGAGCAUGACGGAGCAGCGCCGCGUGAGUGAUGAAGGUCUUCGGAUCGUAAAACUCGGUUAUGAGGGAAGAACAUAUGUGGAAGGAAAUGAGCACAUAGUGACGGUACCGAAUCAGAAAGCCACGGCUAACUACGUG
RNAcentral lists this ribosomal RNA (497 nucleotides) under uncultured bacterium. RNAcentral describes it as "partial 16S ribosomal RNA". It matches the Rfam family "Bacterial small subunit ribosomal RNA", at positions 28 to 507 of the family's 1533-position model. The record is from RNAcentral.